Molecule: transfer RNA, 72 nt
Filed under: Rattus norvegicus (Norway rat)
Lineage: Eukaryota; Metazoa; Chordata; Mammalia; Rodentia; Muridae
Rfam family: tRNA
About the family: Transfer RNA (tRNA) molecules are approximately 80 nucleotides in length. Their secondary structure includes four short double-helical elements and three loops (D, anti-codon, and T loops). Further hydrogen bonds mediate the characteristic L-shaped molecular structure. tRNAs have two regions of fundamental functional importance: the anti-codon, which is responsible for specific mRNA codon recognition, and the 3' end, to which the tRNAs corresponding amino acid is attached (by aminoacyl-tRNA synthetases). tRNAs cope with the degeneracy of the genetic code in two manners: having more than one tRNA (with a specific anti-codon) for a particular amino acid; and 'wobble' base-pairing, i.e. permitting non-standard base-pairing at the 3rd anti-codon position.
Source: Rfam by way of RNAcentral
UGGAACAUAGCUCAGUGGCAGAGCACUUGACUAGCAAGUAAAAAGUCCCAGGUUCGAUCCCUAGCACUUCAA